This 123-nucleotide small RNA is filed under the name Priestia megaterium. RNAcentral's name for it is "L20_leader". It matches the Rfam family "Ribosomal protein L20 leader". Rfam says of the family: This family is a putative r-protein leader autoregulatory structure found in B. subtilis and other low-GC Gram-positive bacteria. It is located in the 5' untranslated regions of mRNAs encoding initiation factor 3 followed by ribosomal proteins L35 and L20 (infC-rpmI-rplT). Lineage: Bacteria; Bacillati; Bacillota; Bacilli; Caryophanales; Bacillaceae. The record is from RNAcentral.
AUACAGAAGAAGAAGCACCCGCUUCUCACCUGAGUGACGCAUAGAGCAGUUAGCAGGUACAUCGUAUCUUAAUUAAAACGAUAGAAGUGUGGGUGCAGUAUGUACUCACACUUUUUUGUGUGA